CCUACGGGAGGCAGCAGUGAGGAAUAUUGGGCAAUGGGCGAAAGCCUGACCCAGCAACGCCGCGUGAAGGAAGAAGGCUUUCGGGUUGUAAACUUCUUUUGUCAGGGAAGAGCAGAAGACGGUACCUGUCGAAUAAGCCACGGCUAACUAGGUGCCAGCAGUCGCGGUAAUACGUGGGUGGCAAGCGUUGUCCGGAUUUACUGGGUGUAAGGGGCGUGUAGCCGGGCUGACAAUUCAGAUGUGAAAUCCGGGGGCUCAACCCCCGAACUGCAUUUGAAACUGUUGGUCUGGAGUAUCGGAGAGGCAGGCGGAAUUCCUAGUGUAGCGGUGAAAUGCGUAGAUAUUAGGAGGAACACCAGUGGCGAAGGCGGCCUGCUGGACGACAACUGACGGUGAGGCACGAAAGCGUGGGGAGCAAACAGGAUUAGAUACCCUUGUAGUC
Molecule: ribosomal RNA, 442 nt
Filed under: uncultured bacterium
Lineage: Bacteria
Description: partial 16S ribosomal RNA
Rfam family: Bacterial small subunit ribosomal RNA
Source: RNAcentral